This 643-nucleotide ribosomal RNA is filed under the name uncultured Actinomycetes bacterium. RNAcentral's name for it is "bacterial SSU rRNA". It matches the Rfam family "Bacterial small subunit ribosomal RNA", at positions 232 to 885 of the family's 1533-position model. Lineage: Bacteria; Bacillati; Actinomycetota; Actinomycetes. The record is from RNAcentral.
CGCGGCCUAUCAGCUUGUUGGUGGGGUAAUGGCCUACCAAGGCGACGACGGGUAGCCGGCCUGAGAGGGUGACCGGCCACGCUGGGACUGAGACACGGCCCAGACUCCUACGGGAGGCAGCAGUGGGGAAUAUUGGACAAUGGGCGAAAGCCUGAUCCAGCAACGCCGCGUGAGGGAUGACGGCCUUCGGGUUGUAAACCUCUUUCAGUAGGGACGAAGCGCAAGUGACGGUACCUACAGAAGAAGCACCGGCCAACUACGUGCCAGCAGCCGCGGUAAUACGUAGGGUGCGAGCGUUGUCCGGAAUUAUUGGGCGUAAAGGGCUCGUAGGCGGUUUGUCACGUCGGGAGUGAAAACUCGGGGCUUAACCCCGAGCCUGCUUCCGAUACGGGCUGACUAGAGGUAUGCAGGGGAGAACGGAAUUCCUGGUGUAGCGGUGAAAUGCGCAGAUAUCAGGAGGAACACCGGUGGCGAAGGCGGUUCUCUGGGCAUUACCUGACGCUGAGGAGCGAAAGUGUGGGGAGCGAACAGGAUUAGAUACCCUGGUAGUCCACACCGUAAACGUUGGGCGCUAGGUGUGGGACUCAUUCCACGAGUUCCGUGCCGCAGCUAACGCAUUAAGCGCCCCGCCUGGGGAGUACGG